AGUGAACGCUGGCGGUAGGCCUAACACAUGCAAGUCGAACGGCAGCACAGUAAGAGCUUGCUCUUACGGGUGGCGAGUGGAGGACGGGUGAGGAAUACAUCGGAAUCUACUUUUUCGUGGGGGAUAACGUAGGGAAACUUACGCUAAUACCGCAUACGACCUACGGGUGAAAGCAGGGGAUCUUCGGACCUUGCGCGAUUGAAUGAGCCGAUGUCGGAUUAGCUAGUUGGCGGGGUAAAGGCCCACCAAGGCGACGAUCCGUAGCUGGUCUGAGAGGAUGAUCAGCCACACUGGAACUGAGACACGGUCCAGACUCCUACGGGAGGCAGCUGUGGGGAAUAUUGGACAAUGGGCGCAAGACUGAUCCAGCCAUACCGCGUGGGUGAAGAAGGCCUUCGGGUUGUAAAGCCCUUUUGUCGGGAAAGAAAAGCAGCAGGUUAAUACCCCGCUGUUCUGACGGUACCCAAAGAAUAAGCACCGGCUAACUUCGUG
RNAcentral lists this ribosomal RNA (492 nucleotides) under uncultured bacterium. Its description in RNAcentral is "partial 16S ribosomal RNA". It matches the Rfam family "Bacterial small subunit ribosomal RNA", at positions 29 to 507 of the family's 1533-position model. The record is from RNAcentral.